GACGAACGCUGGCGGCGUGCCUAAUACAUGCAAGUUGAGCGCUGAAGGUUGGUACUUGUACCAACUGGAUGAGCAGCGAACGGGUGAGUAACGCGUGGGGAAUCUGCCUUUGAGCGGGGGACAACAUUUGGAAACGAAUGCUAAUACCGCAUAAAAACUUUAAACACAAGUUUUAAGUUUGAAAGAUGCAAUUGCAUCACUCAAAGAUGAUCCCGCGUUGUAUUAGCUAGUUGGUGAGGUAAAGGCUCACCAAGGCGAUGAUACAUAGCCGACCUGAGAGGGUGAUCGGCCACAUUGGGACUGAGACACGGCCCAAACUCCUACGGGAGGCAGCAGUAGGGAAGCUUCGGCAAUGGACGAAAGUCUGACCGAGCAACGCCGCGUGAGUGAAGAAGGUUGUCGGAUCGUAAAACUCUGUUGGUAGAGAAGAACGUUGGUGAGAGUGGAAAGCUCAUCAAGUGACGGUAACUACACAGAAAGGGACGGCUAACUACGUG
Molecule: ribosomal RNA, 497 nt
Filed under: uncultured bacterium
Lineage: Bacteria
Description: partial 16S ribosomal RNA
Rfam family: Bacterial small subunit ribosomal RNA
Source: RNAcentral